GGCUCCCAGAGCAUGAGGAAAGUGCCCACGUGGCCGCUCCACAGUGCGGUUAAGGUUUUUACUGUAGACAUGAGAGAAAGAAAAGCUGGAGGUGUCUGUUGGUCCAGAGCAGAGAGAGAAGAAAUCCUAGCAUGGUCUGCAGACUAGACAUGGCCAGGGAAGCAGGAGAGGGAGAGAGCGAGUGAGCGAGAGAGAAGAAAGCAGAACUAGAGAGAGCAAGUGAGGAGCAGCAGAGCACAGAGGGCUAGGAGGGUGAGUUGCUGAGGGAUGGGAAGGGCCGGGACAUGGGUGUGGGGGCUUUGGGUUGUGUAACAAAGACUGAGGGACUUGGAGGUCAGCUCAGCUUCAGUGCAGCCACAGGUCAAGGAGCCGUAUGUCCCUUCUGCCAGAGGUUGGGGAAAUGACUGCUUUCGGCAGCGGGGCACCAGUUUCACAAGCUCCCGAGGAACACUGGCUUUUCUCUAACCCAGAAGUCCUGCCAAAUCCAGGUGGAGGUCAUUUCUUCCUAUCCGCACAGCUGGAGACCUAACAGGGGCCCCAGCCAGGGGACGUCAUGGCUGUAUAGAUCUUGAGAUCUAUAGGAGGCUGACGGGAGCAGAUUCCUGGCAUUUCCACACGGGGAGAGCCUGGUGUGGGCUGGGUCUAGAAAUGUCCUUCCCUACCAUGGCAGAUCCUCCAGAGACGCGAAGCACGGGAAGGGGACCUGUCCUCUGCGUCAGCAAAGCCAUCUUGCCACUCUCGAGAUGGGUGAGCUCCAGCCCCAGCAUGCUGUACUUUUGAGACUUACGGAAGAAUUCAUGGAAAACCACCACGCCCCUCGGCUCCAGCAUGACCAGAGGCCACGGGUCCACGCUUGCUCCGGCUGGAUGGCACCAUCUGCAGAGCGUCAGCCCGAUGAGGGUUGUGACUGCCUCGCCUGCUGAGGCGUCAUACGGUCCUCGUGACUCAGGCUGCUCUCGUGCUGUGUUCAUAAGGUCUCAGUUAAUACACAAAGGACCAGUUCACACCCAAGUGAAACGCAUGUUUGGAUACAGGCGCUGUUUUCAGACGGACACCAAAGCUAUGGGUCAUCUGGGAACACGCUGCUUCCAUCCACCAGACCAGUGA
Molecule: long non-coding RNA, 1107 nt
Filed under: Meriones unguiculatus (Mongolian gerbil)
Lineage: Eukaryota; Metazoa; Chordata; Mammalia; Rodentia; Muridae
Description: lncRNA (ENSMUGG00000001401.1)
Source: RNAcentral